GGGCCCGCACAAGCGGUGGAGCAUGUGGUUUAAUUCGAUGAUACGCGAGGAACCUUACCAGGGUUUAAAUGCAGAACGACAGGGGUGGAAACACCCCCUUCUUCGGACGGACUGCAAGGUGCUGCAUGGUUGUCGUCAGCUCGUGCUGUGAAGUGUCGGGUUAAGUCCCAUAACGAGCGCAACCCCCAUUUCUAGUUGCCAGCGGUUCGGCCGGGGACUCUAGAGAAACUGCCAGCGUAAGCUGUGAGGAAGGUGGGGAUGACGUCAAAUCAUCACGGCCCUUACAUCCUGGGCCACACACGUGCUACAAUGGUGGGGACAACAGGUUGCCAACCCGCGAGGGUGAGCCAAUCCCAAAACCCCAUCUCAGUUCGGAUCGGAGUCUGCAACUCGACUCCGUGAAGUUGGAAUCGCUAGUAAUCG
Molecule: ribosomal RNA, 423 nt
Filed under: uncultured bacterium
Lineage: Bacteria
Description: bacterial SSU rRNA
Rfam family: Bacterial small subunit ribosomal RNA
Source: RNAcentral